RNA transcript from Suricata suricatta (meerkat), 5076 nucleotides. It is a transcript of the gene named HPS3 biogenesis of lysosomal organelles complex 2 subunit 1, with no coding region annotated. The record is from RefSeq and is a predicted model, not a curated record. Lineage: Eukaryota; Metazoa; Chordata; Mammalia; Carnivora; Herpestidae. The transcript is spliced from 19 exons.
CGGCUCUGUGCAAUCGCUGGCGGAAGUGGUCCAGCCUCGGCGACCGUCACGGGGUCUCCGGGCGCCCCGCGGGGCGUGCAGGCGGGAGCCGGCACCGCCGGGCUGCCCCGUAGUGGGUCGCCAGGAUGGUGCAACUGUAUAAUCUGCACCCGUUCGGGUCGCAGCAGGUGGUGCCCUGCAAAUUGGAGCCCGAGCGGUUCUGCGGCGGCGGACGGGACGCGCUCUUCGUGGCGGCAGGCUGUAAGGUGGAGGCGUUCGCAGUGGCGGGACAGGAGUUGUGCCAGCCGAGGUGCGCCUUUUCCACGCUGGGCAGGGUGCUGUGCCUGGCCUACAGCGAGGCCGGAGACUAUUUGGCAGCAAUUGAAGAGAAAAACAAAGCUACGUUUCUACGAGCGUAUGUGAACUGGAGAAGUAAGAGGACUGAAAACUGUCGCGUGUGUAUCCGGAUGGUUGGACAUAAAGUGGAGGCACCCUUCAGCGACACCUUCAGAGACCAGAUGUCUAUCAUUGAAAUGCCACUUUCUGAGGCCCCCUUGUGCAUUUCCUGUUGCCCAAUGAAAGGAGACCUUCUUGUUGGUUGCACAAAUAAGUUAGUCUUAUUUAGUUUGAAGUAUCAGCUCAUUAGUGAAGAAUUCUCAAUAUUAGACUUUGAACGUUCUUUAAUUAUACACAUAGAUAACAUCAUUCCUGUUGAAAUUUCUUUCUGUGUUGGAUAUGUUGCUCUCAUGUCAGAAUUAGAAGUGUUAAUCGUGAAACUGGAAUCAGACCCUAAAAGUGGAGAGAGUGUUAACUACCAGCCACCUAAGACCAACAAUCCAAUGAAACAGACAGAAGGCAUCAGUAAUGAAGCUUUGCAGCUUGAGUCGGAUGAUUUUGUUAUCUGUCAAAAGCCCGUGGAACUUCUUGGUGAAAAAAGUAGCCAGUCUGGAAUAUCCGUUACACUGGAGUCAACUGGAUUAGCUGAUAAAACCAUAAAAUAUUACCACAUUCAGCACCUGCUUUAUAAACGUUUUGCUCCUGAUAUUUCAUCCCUUGUCUUAUCUGAUGACAUCAGGCUGCACUCACUUCAGCUGCUACCCAUUUACCAAACAGGUUCUCCUACAUCUGAUGGAAAAAAAUUGUCUCAGGAAAAAGAGUUGCUGAGUCUCUUUUGUUUUUUCUCAUUACCUCAUGUGGGCUAUCUCUACAUGGUGGUCAAAUCUGUUGAAUUGAUGUCAGUUUACCAGUAUCCUGAGAAGUCUCAGCAGGCAGUGCUCACGCCACAGUUUUUGCAUGUCAUUACAAGCAACAACCUGCAGUGUUUCACAGUGCGGUGCAGUGCGGCGGCAGCGCGUGAAGAGGACCCAUACGUGGACACCACCCUGAAGGCUUGCCCACCUGUCACUAUGGAUGUCUGUGCUUUAAGAAUACAGCUUUUCAUAGGCUUGAAAGCCAUGUGUCACUUUAAAAACCACCUCAUACUUUUGACCAAGGCAGACCCUGAGGCCAUUCCAGAGACAAGAGAACCAUCCAAGAGGCUCCUCUCUAGAAAAGGAACGACUGUUAAGCUUAAAACACCUCCUGUAGCUGAGGCUGGGUGGAAUUUGUAUGUUGUGGAUACGAUCUCACCAGUACAACUGUACAGAGAAAUGGUAGACUACAGUAAUACCUACAAGACUGCAAGGACCCAGAGCUGCAUCCACCUUCUUAGCGAGGCUCAUCUGUUAGUGAGGGCCGCCCUGAUGGAUGCCAGUCAGUUGGAACCUGGAGAAAAAGCAGAGCUUUUAGAAGCAUUUAAAGAAAGCUGUGGGCACCUUGGAGACUGCUAUAGCAGGCUUGACACCCAGCAUUCCCACCUUGCCUUGCCAUACUAUAAGAUGUCUGGUUUGUCUAUGGCUGAAGUUUUAACCCGAGCAGACUGGCCACUGGAGGCUGGAUUGCAGAAAUACGAGAGGGGAUUAAUCUUCUACAUUAAUCAUUCACUCUAUGAAAACCUGGAUGAAGAAUUAAGUGAAGAAUUAGCAGCAAAAGUGGUUCAGAUGUUCCAUGAGGCCGAGCCAAGACAACUGCCCCAUGUUCUCUGUAGUCCUUCUAUGAAGAAUAUUAAUCCGGUAACUGCCAUGAGCUAUCUGAGCAAGCUGGAUACUUCUGGGUUCUCAUCGAUCUUAGUGACAUUGACCAAAGCAGCAAUGGCUCUGAAAAUGGGAGAUCUUGACAUGCACAGAAAUGAAAUGCAAAGCUAUCCAGAGAUGAAGUUGGUAUGUGGCUUUAUCCUGGAACCUCGGCUACUGAUUCAGCAGAGAAGGGGACAGAUUGUUCCAACUGAACUUGCAGUGCACUUGAAGGACAUUCAGCCCGGACUGCUCGUGGCCUCAGUUCUGGGCUUACAGAAGAACAACAAAAUUGGAAUUGAGGAAGCAGAUUCCUUCUUUAAGGUGCUUUGUGGUAAGGACAAAGACACGAUUCCUCAGCUCUUGGUAGACCUUUGGGAAGCUCAGCUCGUGGCCGGUCUCCCAGACGUGGUUCUCCAGGAGCUCUUUUUCAAGCUCACAUCACAGUACAUCUGGAGAUUGUCCAAGAUGCAGCCCCCUGACACCACACCAUUGCGAACAUCAGAGGAUCUGAUAAAUGCCUGUAGUCAUUAUGGCUUAAUCUAUCCAUGGGUUAAUGUCUUAAUAUCAUCUGAUUUCUUAGCGGAUAAAAGUUAUACAGAAGACCUUUCAAAAUUACAGUCUCUUAUAUGUGGUCCUUCAUUUGACAUAGCUUCCAUUAUUCCAUUCCUGGAACCACUCUCAGAAGACACUGUUGCUGGCCUCAGUGUCCGUGUUCUGUGUCGUACGCGUUUGAAAGAGUAUGAACAGUGUAUAGACACACUGCUAGAAAGAUGCCCGGAGGCGAUCAUUCCAUAUGCUAAUCACGAACUGAAAGAAGAGAAUCGGACUUUGUGGUGGAAAAAACUGCUGCCUGAACUUUGUCAUAGAAUAAAAUGCGGUGGAGAGAAAGGUCAACUUUACCUGUCAUCAUUAAAAGAAACGCUGUCGGUUGUUGCCGUGGAGCUAGAACUAAGGGAUUUCUUGAAUGUCCUUCCAGAAGAUGGCACCGCAGCAUUUUUCUUGCCAUAUCUUCUUUAUUGCAGUCGAAAGAAGUCAUUGACUUGAAGGUAUCAUUGGAAAAGUAUCACAAUGCCAUAGGAGACGGACGUUUUUAAAAACGAGUGUCAGCCAGACUUGGUCUCUAUAAGAAGAGAAAUUUUAAGACCAUUAUUACAAACAGUACAGUAGUCCCCCUUAUCCAUGGCUUCAGUUAUCCUUGGUCAGCUGCAGUCCAGAAGCAGGUGUUCCUCCGAAGUACUGCUUUAUUUAAAGAAAAAUUUCUUUCCUCCCGGCAAGAUCUUCAUUAAUUAUAAAGGGAAAAAUAAUAACUUUACAAGAAUAAAACCUGGAAGACAUCUCCUUAAUCAAAUGCUCAACAUAAUCACUAAGAGAAAAAUCAACACUGGUGCCUCUUGACACGUGUACUGAGAAAAAAGUAUCACUUCUGUGAGAAUCCUGCUCAAAAAAAUGCAUAACCUCAAUCUGAUAAUGAGGAAACACUAGACAAACCCACACUGAAAGAUGCUCUACAAAGUCACUGCCCUGUGUUCUUUAAAAAUGUCAAAAUUAUAAAAGACAGACUGUUUCAGACUAAGAAAACAUGCCAACUGAACACAACGUAGGAGUGGGAUUUUCUUUUCCUGUGAAGAGUGUGAUGAGAAUAAUUUGUGAAAUUUGAAAAGGGUCUGUAGUAUUGAAUCAUUUUUAACUUCCUGACUUUGAUAAGUGUAUUGUGUUUAUAUGUGAUAAUCUUGUUUUUAAGAGAAUAAAUAGAUGUAUAUAUGUUUAUGAAUGUGUGAGGGGGGAAUUUUGGUAAAAGGUAUAUGGGAAUUUUUGGUAGUGCUUUUGCAACCUUUCUCUUAAGUGUGACAUUAUGGCCAAAAAUUUUUUUUAAGUUCCUUUUUAUUGAACAUUUAGAUUCAGAUAUUUUUACCAAGCAGAAUAUUGGAUUUGGGUACUUACUAGAAAUACAUAAUAUACAAUCCCUGCCUAUGAGUACCUAAAAGUUAAGCAAGUUUUCCUACAGACUUCUCCAAAAGGUUAUCUGACUGUCAUAGAAAUGUCACAGUCUAAAAAAAGUACCUUUUAUAUUUGUCAGAGGAGGUCUUUAUUAUGCUUCUUGUGGUAGGGGAAAUGAAGUAGUACAUUAAUUAAGUAUGAUGGUAUAGCCACAAUUCUUUUCUAGUGAUGUUUUUCAUUGAGGUGGAAAUUGCCUGUCUCCCGGCACAUAAUAUUGAAACAUUUUACUCCAACCUCAUGUACUCUCUUUUCUGUGUUGUGGUAGGCAGAAAAUUUUCCAAGAUUCAGAAUUCAUGUGGACUUAUCCAAAGCUUUAUCAAACAUUUAUUUAAAGAUAAUUCAGACUGGCAAACAUGGCUCUCCAUUUUUUUGUUUAGAGUUCAGACUGUCUUUUUUGUUCAUUACUGCCUCUUCCAGUCCAUGCAAUACCUUUUCUUUUUGUAAAAGCCAAUUUCUUUCAUCUUUUCUCCACUGUGUGUUUUCCCUUCACAUUUGCACUUUGCUCUACAGUUUUUCCUUUGACUUUUAAAACCAGUCUCCCCUUUCUUAACCAAGCAGUCAUCUCCCUCUGCUUCUAGGCUGUUUCUACAGGAGGACUUUCUAGUGCCUGGGUGUGUAGGAUUAGCCUGUAACAGCAUCCUCAGGCAUUUGCACACAUGGAUUUCCAGAAUGCCUGCCUCAGUGUCCCCUCACUCUUGGGUCUUUUUUCUCUGAGCAGGACCGUCCUCUUGUAUGCUGAUUUGUGUGUGUGCUGAUGUUCUUCAAACACUAUUUAUAAAGUUUUCUUUCUCAUCUUUGACUCUUCACCUUCUUCAGUAGUUACUGGCAUUAAGCCCAGUGGUUUAUUAGCCUGUUCCCCUCUUUGGUGUUAUGAUGCCUUUGUUCCCACUCUUUGUAAUAAAGGGUUUUAAUAGAAUAGUUUUUCAUGUUACGACAUGUUUGUAUAAAACCCCAGGAGCAGAAAAUAAAACAUCAUUUGCAGUAA